This 459-nucleotide long non-coding RNA is filed under the name Androctonus crassicauda. Lineage: Eukaryota; Metazoa; Arthropoda; Arachnida; Scorpiones; Buthidae. The record is from RNAcentral.
GUAACAUGAUGUCUAAUAAAUGAAAAGUUCUGGACUUACUUGUUAGAAACAAAAAUUAAAAUAUUGUAUCAAAAAAAAAAAAUUGAAAAUGGAGAUCAUGAGUGCUUAUGGAAUUCCUAAAAGUUCUUUGCCCACAAUUUUGAAGGAUGAUAAGAAAAUUUGUGAACUAUAAGUACAUGAUGUGAAAAGUGAUGUAAAAUAUAUAUAGAAUGUUAAUCAUCCUGAUGAUGACAAAGUUAUGACUUUAGGUUACAGCAGACACCAGCAUCUCUGGGCCUAUAUUACAAGAAAAAACACAGAAUUUUGCUUUUGCAUUAGGUAUAACAGAUUGAUUCAAAACUCCCUAUGGAGACCCAGAAUUCGGGUCAGAUGCAAGGUGUCACUCCCCCACCUCAUUGAAAAUUAUGAAAGGAAUUUGAACGGAGUCACUUUAAAAGGAAAACAACAAAAUAUUGUACU